GACGAACGCUGGCGGCGUGCUUAACACAUGCAAGUCGAACGGAAAGGCCUUUUCGGAGGUACUCGAGUGGCGAACGGGUGAGUAACACGUGGGUGAUCUGCCCUGCACUCUGGGAUAAGCCUGGGAAACUGGGUCUAAUACCGGAUAGGACCGCACUUUAGUGUGUGUGGUGGAAAGUUUUUUCGGUGUAGGAUGAGCCCGCGGCCUAUCAGCUUGUUGGUGGGGUAAUGGCCUACCAAGGCGGCGACGGGUAGCCGGACUGAGAGGUUGGUCGGCCACAUUGGGACUGAGAUACGGCCCAGACUCCUACGGGAGGCAGCAGUGGGGAAUAUUGCACAAUGGGCGCAAGCCUGAUGCAGCGACGCCGCGUGGGGGAUGACGGCCUUCGGGUUGUAAACUCCUUUCGCCAGGGACGAAGCGUUUUGUGACGUUACCUGGAGAAGAAGCACCGGCUAACUACGUG
This 463-nucleotide ribosomal RNA is filed under the name uncultured bacterium. Its description in RNAcentral is "partial 16S ribosomal RNA". It matches the Rfam family "Bacterial small subunit ribosomal RNA", at positions 28 to 507 of the family's 1533-position model. The record is from RNAcentral.